GAUGAACGCUGGCGGCGUGCCUAAUACAUGCAAGUCGAGCGAACAGAUGAGGAGCUUGCUCCUCUGACGUUAGCGGCGGACGGGUGAGUAACACGUGGAUAACCUACCUAUAAGACUGGGAUAACUUCGGGAAACCGGAGCUAAUACCGGAUAAUAUAUUGAACCGCAUGGUUCAAUAGUGAAAGACGGUUUUGCUGUCACUUAUAGAUGGAUCCGCGCCGCAUUAGCUAGUUGGUAAGGUAACGGCUUACCAAGGCAACGAUGCGUAGCCGACCUGAGAGCGUGAUCGACCAGACUGGAACUGAGGCACGGUCCAGACUCCUACGGGAGGCAGCAGUAGGGAAUCUUCCGCAAUGGGCGAAAGCCUGACGGAGCAACGCCGCGUGAGUGAUGAAGGUCUUCGGAUCGUAAAACUCUGUUAUUAGGGAAGAACAAAUGUGUAAGUAACUAUGCACGUCUUGACGGUACCUAAUCAGAAAGCCCCGGCUAACUACGUG
Molecule: ribosomal RNA, 497 nt
Filed under: uncultured bacterium
Lineage: Bacteria
Description: partial 16S ribosomal RNA
Rfam family: Bacterial small subunit ribosomal RNA
Source: RNAcentral